CUUCUCUCUUAGCCAGAAAUCACCAUGGCUGUUUUGGACCAGGGUAACCAGUUUUCACAAAUCACUUUAUCCGGCCGAGUGUUUUGAGGGUACGGAUGCCAUCGUAGUGAGCACAGGGAUGACCUGGUGGACCAUGCUGAAUCACAGAGUUUCAGAUCUGGAUAUUAUUCCAGCCAGGCAAGCUUGAGGGACUCCUCUGGCGCUGGCUCUGGGGAGGGAUCUAGGAACCCUGCCGCACCAUGUCGCACCUGCUCUCAGACGCGGCUCCCGCUACAUCACCCUCUUAUUCUGAUCUGGGAGCUCCAUCCCCGUCUCUGUGAUGGCCUGAAAACUUUCCCUCAGGGGUGCAACUGUCCAACACGGUGAUGUGGGGACCCUUUGGAAGAUCUCUAAACAAUGGGCUUCCCCAGAAAAGCCCCAAACUUCCCAUCACAAGAAGGAUCAGCCAUAUAUCCAUACAGUCCUCCACUCAGCCAAAAUUUAAAGCAAGUCUUAGAGCCAGGCAUGGAGCUAAAACAAAAAGGCAAAGAAAGAAAGAGAGUGUGGGGAUGUAGAGCUAAAACAAAACACAGGGGGAAAAAGUAGAUUUUAUUUAAAAUUAGUGUAGAAGAAAGGCACUGUAUGUCAGGAGUGGGGAAAACUGGCACUUUGGCCCCAGAUCUUCUACAAUAACUGAGCAGCUGUAUGUAGGCAGCUCUCCUUCCCCUUCUUUGGACCUCAAGUUUGCAUUUGUAAAGUGAGGAGGCUGGGCAGCUGAGAUAUUUGGAAAACAGCCUUCCGUUUUCCAUUUUGGAGAAUAGAGGGAGACAGAGUGCUCAUUUCCACGGGGGUUCACACCAAAUCAUUCUGGGUAUUUAUUUACUUUUUUCUUUAAAAAAUUCAUAACUGAGACCUAAUGUGUGUACAUCUUCUGGGAGAUUCAUUACGAUCACUCAAUGCAUCCUUCUUGUGAGCGGAGGGAAUUCCCUGCUGUUCCAGAGAGUCCACGGAGGACGAAUCUCUCCCACCCCUGGUGUCUGUGAAACCAGUCGGUGGACUUGGCUGCCUCACCUAAUGUCCAGGUUGGUGGGGAGGCAGCUGGCCUGGGAGUUCUCAGUGUUGGCAGCAGGAGAUCUGGAAUCAGAGGAGUGGACGGAGUGUACGUGGUCCAGACAGUGCCACAGCCCAUCUGAAAGCUCUGGGAAGUCACCACUGAAAUGCUUCCUUCUGCAUCACCCCCCACCCUCCUCUCCAUCCAGAUGAAUUAGGAGUUCAUUCCAAGCUUAGUGAGGCCACGCUCGGCUUCCUAGCACAAGCUUGUAUUUUGGAGAUCUUCAGGGGUUUUGCUCCUGGCCACCCCUCAGGAUGUACUGCUCAGCUUGCCUUCCCGGGGAUGAGGGGACCCAGGUGAACAUGGAUGUGCUGAACCUGUCCCAGAUGGAUUUGGCAGCCAUGGAAAGAAGACUCUGCAGUGGUGACAUCUCCCUUGGUGGCUAGCUUGGGUCUGGAGCCAUGGGACAGGAGUGGAUGUAGGCUUGAUCCCUCGUGCUCUUGGAGACAUGGAGGGGUCAGGACUUUGCAAUCAUGUUCUGCUCUUCCUGCCACCAUGGAGAGGAGGAUCCCACUCCUUAACUAGGACUCCCCGGUGCUUCCAGCACUAACUCAUGGAGUCACCAGAUAUGGCACUCAGUUGUCCUGUUGGUAAAAUGAGCAGGAUGAUAGGUGCCCUUUAACAGAUAAAUGGAUAAAUAAAAUGUGGUACAUAUACAUACCAUGGAAUAUUACUCAGC
RNAcentral lists this long non-coding RNA (1769 nucleotides) under Marmota monax (woodchuck). Lineage: Eukaryota; Metazoa; Chordata; Mammalia; Rodentia; Sciuridae. The record is from RNAcentral.